GGACACAAACUUCUCUCCAUCUUCAUGGGCGUAGUCACUGAAUGUUGACAAAGUAACUGGGAUCAUAGGUGUGUGGAUGAUGGGUGGCAUUACACUUACUGGGGGAACGUAUGGGAACCAUAAACGUACAACUUUCAAAGAUUGAAAACGACAAAAACUGCUAGAGGGACAUGUGACGACAGAGAAACUUUGGAGGAAACGGGACAAUAUU
Molecule: long non-coding RNA, 211 nt
Organism: Ostrea edulis (European flat oyster)
Lineage: Eukaryota; Metazoa; Mollusca; Bivalvia; Ostreida; Ostreidae
Exons: 3
Source: RefSeq, a predicted model, not a curated record